This is a long non-coding RNA of Lolium rigidum, 261 nucleotides long. RefSeq lists it as uncharacterized. Lineage: Eukaryota; Viridiplantae; Streptophyta; Magnoliopsida; Poales; Poaceae. The record is from RefSeq and is a predicted model, not a curated record. The transcript has 3 exons.
CUUUCAUGCUUUCCAGGUUGAUACUACAGCUGGAUCAUUUAGAAAUUAUUCAAACAAUACAGUACAGGCCCCCUACAUGGUAGAUGGUGCCUUGUCGUACACACAGAUGUUGCUUGGCAUUGAUGAAACGGCUAAUUCUGAAUACUAUAAUGAUUAUCUACAAAGACCAGCCAGUUAUGAGAAUAAGAUGUUCAUGAUCACUGGAAGGUAUGCAGAUGGAGCAGAUACUAUGAUUGAUUCGGAAGAAACAAAUCAUGAGCA